ACAGGACUUUGAAGUGAACUUUUCUGCUAAUCGUGUUUUUGCUUUACUUUGAAAUGAGAAAGGGACAAGUGUUCUGCUUCUGUUUUGUGGCAGUCCAUCUAAGCUUUAUUGCUAUACCACACCCUGGCUUUGCUCCAUAUAGGCCCUGCAUUGUGUUGGAAUCAAACCUCGCAUCCAGUCUUGUAAAUGCCAGGAAGUUAUAUUAUUCUGCACUUAAAAGCUUAUAAUCAAGGCAACAGCUUAUGAAGAGACUACAAUAUUGGAGACCAAGGACUGAAAUGCAACAUCUUAAAAAAUCUUGUAUAGCUAGCAAGACAUUCUCAGUGAAACAGAAGAAAGGAAAAGCUUUGAAAGGCAUGUGGAUUUCUUCCAUUUAUAAGGGAGGGGCUGCCAUUUGAUGGCUUGGAUACUCCUAGUUGAAGUGUGCGAUUGUAAUUGAUUGGUAGCAUGGCAUUGAAAUUUAUUGACAUUGUAUCUAUUAUAUCUACGAUAAUUAGCUCAUAAUAAGAACAAAAUCAUUGGUGUAAUGUGAUUUGAUCAGCUGACGAAAAUGUGAUUUGAUUGACAUACAUGAUUUGGUGUUCAUGCUUCCUCUCAUGAACAUAGGAGUAUGGCGUUUUUGCUGAUUUUAAAGGUCCAC
Molecule: long non-coding RNA, 640 nt
Organism: Rosa chinensis
Lineage: Eukaryota; Viridiplantae; Streptophyta; Magnoliopsida; Rosales; Rosaceae
Exons: 4
Source: RefSeq, a predicted model, not a curated record